Molecule: ribosomal RNA, 464 nt
Filed under: uncultured bacterium
Lineage: Bacteria
Description: partial 16S ribosomal RNA
Rfam family: Bacterial small subunit ribosomal RNA
Source: RNAcentral
ACGAACGCUGGCGGCGUGCUUAACCCAUGCAAGUCGAACGGAAAGGCCCUGCUUGCAGGGUACUCGAGUGGCGAACGGGUGAGUAACACGUGGGUGAUCUGCCCUGCACUUCGGGAUAAGCCUGGGAAACUGGGUCUAAUACCGGAUAGGAGCCAUUUUUAGUGUGAUGGUUGGAAAGUUUUUUCGGUGUAGGAUGAGCUCGCGGCCUAUCAGCUUGUUGGUGGGGUAAUGGCCUACCAAGGCGGCGACGGGUAGUCGGCCUGAGAGGGUGGACGGCCACAUUGGGACUGAGAUACGGCCCAGACUCCUACGGGAGGCAGCAGUGGGGAAUAUUGCACAAUGGGCGCAAGCCUGAUGCAGCGACGCCGCGUGGGGGAUGACGGCCUUCGGGUUGUAAACUCCUUUCGCUAGGGACGAAGCUUUUUGUGACGGUACCUAGAUAAGAAGCACCGGCUAACUACGUG